AACCUUCAUGCAAUCAGACC
Molecule: unclassified non-coding RNA, 20 nt
Filed under: Mus musculus (house mouse)
Lineage: Eukaryota; Metazoa; Chordata; Mammalia; Rodentia; Muridae
Description: oocyte_clustered_small_RNA4676
Source: RNAcentral